RNAcentral lists this long non-coding RNA (1021 nucleotides) under Callithrix jacchus (white-tufted-ear marmoset). RNAcentral describes it as "lncRNA (ENSCJAG00000074029.1)". The record is from RNAcentral. Lineage: Eukaryota; Metazoa; Chordata; Mammalia; Primates; Cebidae.
CGCCCAGUGCUGAGCUUCUGCAGUCCAAGGAUCCUUGGGUGUGCCAGGCCAGCUCCACUGUCUCCCUCCUCCUCAGGGCACCUCCACUCCCUCCACACUCACUGCCAGGCCUUGGUCUUCACCACAUUGGCCAACAUCCUCUGCCAACAUGCAUCCAAGGUUCCCAAUAAGUGCAUUUUCCCACAUUGCCCAGAGGGCUGGAGACUGGCUGUGACCACCAGAGGCUCCAGCCGAUCCUGUGUGCAGAAUGACCUGCCUCACCUGCUCGGGGGUCCUGAGAACAGAGACAGUGUGGAGAUGGAAGCAGUCCUUAUUCCUAGAAAUGCCAGUCAUUUUCCAGGACUGUUUUCCUGAGGCCUCUACUACUUAGUUUCCCACAGUAGGGCCAGAAGCAUGUUUUGAGAUUGAGUAAUCAGAGAACUGCUGCAUUUGCAAUGCCCUCUGGUCCUAGGGAUGGCCCAGCUUAGCCACCAGCCCUCAGCUGCGGCCACACUGGCUAUCCAUGCAGCACAGCCUGAUAUCCAGGGCUCCAAACAGCCCGGCCAGCAGCUGAGGGAGGUCUAGCCAUAGUUCUGUCUCCCCAGGUACAUCUGCUGGGAGGGCAGCACUGUCCCCUCACCCUCUGAUGGAACCCAUGGAUACACAUGUCCCCCUGGCUUCCAUUGUCCCCCAGGGGCUCACAGGGAGCUGCCCUGUGAGGCUGGCACCUUCAGCCCUCUGCCUGACACUGCCACCUGCCUGCCCUGCCCAAAGGGCACCUACUGCCACCAGGCUGCCACUGUGGAGCUCACCACCUGCCCCAAAGGGACAUAGUCUCCACCACAGUGUCCUCCAGGGCCCUUCACUCUUCAGAAUGCAUCAGGUCUCCGGGAAGAGGGUGACUGUCCAAUCUGUCCCCAGGGUCACUACUGCAGGUCAGUCCCUGCCCAGAGCCAUUUAUCUCCUGCCACUGGGUCAGACUGCAUUGUGGGUGGGAGAGCAGGCUCGAUGCCCCAGCUCAGGUGUAGGGGGUGGGGGUUGA